AUAAAAGCUACCCCGGGGAUAACAGGCUUAUCUCCCCCAAGAGUUCACAUCGACGGGGAGGUUUGGCACCUCGAUGUCGGCUCAUCGCAUCCUGGGGCUGUAGUCGGUCCCAAGGGUUGGGCUGUUCGCCCAUUAAAGCGGUACGCGAGCUGGGUUCAGAACGUCGUGAGACAGUUCGGUCCCUAUCCGUCGUGGGCGUAGGAAAUUUGAGAGGAGCUGUCCUUAGUACGAGAGGACCGGGAUGGACAUACCUCUGGUGUACCAGUUGUCGUGCCAACGGCAUAGCUGGGUAGCUAUGUAUGGACGGGAUAAGUGCUGAAAGCAUCUAAGCAUGAAGCCCCCCUCAAGAUGAGAUUUCCCAACUUCGGUUAUAAGAUCCCUCAAAGAUGAUGAGGUUAAUAGGUUCGAGGUGGAAGCGUGGUGACACGUGGAGCUGACGAAUACUAAUCGAUCGAAGACUUAAUCAA
RNAcentral lists this ribosomal RNA (467 nucleotides) under Bacillaceae bacterium HSR45. RNAcentral's name for it is "partial 23S ribosomal RNA". It matches the Rfam family "Bacterial large subunit ribosomal RNA", at positions 2456 to 2925 of the family's 2925-position model. The record is from RNAcentral. Lineage: Bacteria; Bacillati; Bacillota; Bacilli; Caryophanales; Bacillaceae.